This 725-nucleotide ribosomal RNA is filed under the name Flacillula johnstoni. RNAcentral's name for it is "partial 28S ribosomal RNA". The stretch from base 433 to 725 matches the Rfam family "Eukaryotic large subunit ribosomal RNA", at positions 665 to 925 of the family's 3401-position model. Lineage: Eukaryota; Metazoa; Arthropoda; Arachnida; Araneae; Salticidae. The record is from RNAcentral.
GCGCAGACGGCGCGGGAAGACGGAAGGGCUUCCCGGGACCGGGGCCGUCCCGCGCCGCCUUUCGUGCGGCGCCGUACGCAUUUGACUCUCGCCCGAAGGACGCUGCAGCCGGUUCGGCAGUGCAAGCGCGACGGCCUGGAGGUCGGGAGCCGGCAGGUGGCCGGUGGCUCGCCCCGUGCGCGCCGCCGGUCGUUAGCCAUCCCGUCGGUGGCCCGUCGCCGGACCGAGGUGUCGCGAGUCCCUCACGGGACUCGGCGUCUCCGCCCUCGUGGCCGCGGGACAGAACGCGGCGAGGUCCCGCCGACGAGCCGUCGCACUCCUCCGGAGUGGGCGGUCAGUCGUCGGGGCCCGGUGGCCGCGGCGGACCCGCUGGGGGGCCGGAGGCUGGCAGCGAGUAGGUCGGUCACCCACCCGACCCGUCUUGAAACACGGACCAAGGAGUCUAACAUGUGCGCGAGUCAGUGGGUCUUGAACAGGCCCACGGGCGCAAUGAAAGCGAAGGCCUUCCGAGCGUCGGCCGAGUCGGGAUCCCGCCCCCCCCGUGGGGCGGGCGCACCGACGACCCGUCCUAUCCGGCACUCCCGGUUGGGCGGAGUCUGAGCGUACACGUUGGGACCCGAAAGAUGGUGAACUAUGCCCGGACAGGACGAGGCCAGAGGAAACUCUGGUGGAGGUCCGCAGCGGUCUGACGUGCAAAUCGAUCGUCAGAUCCGGGUCUAGGGGCA